GACGAACGCUGGCGGCGUGCUUAACACAUGCAAGUCGAACGGAAAGGCCCUGCUUUUGUGGGGUGCUCGAGUGGCGAACGGGUGAGUAACACGUGAGUAACCUGCCCUUGACUUUGGGAUAACUUCAGGAAACUGGGGCUAAUACCGGAUAGGAGCUCCUGCUGCAUGGUGGGGGUGGGAAAGUUUCGGCGGUUGGGGAUGGACUCGCGGCUUAUCAGCUUGUUGGUGGGGUAGUGGCUUACCAAGGCUUUGACGGGUAGCCGGCCUGAGAGGGUGACCGGCCACAUUGGGCCUGAGAUACGGCCCAGACUCCUACGGGAGGCAGCAGUGGGGAAUAUUGCACAAUGGGCGGAAGCCUGAUGCAGCAACGCCGCGUGCGGGAUGACGGCCUUCGGGUUGUAAACCGCUUUCGCCUGUGACGAAGCGUGAGUGACGGUAAUGGGUAAAGAAGCACCGGCUAACUACGUG
This 468-nucleotide ribosomal RNA is filed under the name uncultured bacterium. RNAcentral's name for it is "partial 16S ribosomal RNA". It matches the Rfam family "Bacterial small subunit ribosomal RNA", at positions 28 to 507 of the family's 1533-position model. The record is from RNAcentral.